ACCUGACUGGCUCAGUCGGUAGAGCAUGUGACUCCUGAUCCCAGGGUUGUGAGUUCAAGCCCCACAUGAGGCA
Molecule: transfer RNA, 73 nt
Filed under: Felis catus (domestic cat)
Lineage: Eukaryota; Metazoa; Chordata; Mammalia; Carnivora; Felidae
Also listed under: 2 other names
Rfam family: tRNA
About the family: Transfer RNA (tRNA) molecules are approximately 80 nucleotides in length. Their secondary structure includes four short double-helical elements and three loops (D, anti-codon, and T loops).
Source: Rfam by way of RNAcentral